RNAcentral lists this ribosomal RNA (465 nucleotides) under uncultured bacterium. RNAcentral describes it as "partial 16S ribosomal RNA". It matches the Rfam family "Bacterial small subunit ribosomal RNA", at positions 338 to 795 of the family's 1533-position model. The record is from RNAcentral.
CCUACGGGUGGCAGCAGUGGGGAAUCUUGCGCAAUGGGCGAAAGCCUGACGCAGUGACGCCGCGUGAGGGAUGAAGGUCUUCGGAUCGUAAACCUCUGUCAGCAGGGAAGAACGGUCACUGUGCUAAUCAGCAGUGAAUUGACGGUACCAGCAAAGGAAGCACCGGCUAACUCCGUGCCAGCAGCCGCGGUAAUCCGGAGGGUGCGGGCGUUAACCGGAAUUACUGGGCGUAAGGCGCUCGUAGGCGGUAGGUCAAGUCAAGGGUGAAAUCCCCGCGCUCAACGUGGGAACUGCCUUUGAAACUGGCAGACUGGAGUGUGUGAGAGGAUAGUGGAAUUCCAGGGGUAGGAGUGAAAUCCGUAGAUAUCUGGAGGAACAUCAGUGGCGAAGGCGACUAUCUGGCACAUAACUGACGCUGAGGAGCGAAAGCGUGGGUAGCAAACAGGAUUAGAUACCCCUGUAGUC